GGUAGUUACCGUUUCAGAACGGCAGUUACCGUUCCAGAACGGCAUAUGCCAUGGUAUGUCAGUGGUCGCGACGGCAGUUACCGUUUCAGAACGGCAGUUACCGUUCCAGAACGGCAUAUGCCAUGGUAUGUCAGUGGUCGCGGUGGCACAUGCCACAGGCCAUUAAACGAUCUCGGCGUCUCUCCCCCAACAUGCUAGGUCAAUUUUCGGCAUCAUAAGGUUGAGUGAUAUAGUCAUGUCAUACACCGUUUGAAAGCUUAGAAUCUGUCAACCAAUGUCAACCAUUCGGUGGAAUAAAUAUGUUUAGUAAAUAUAGAUCAAAUAUAUCCUAGUGUCUUAGGUCAAAAUAGCCCCCCUCACCCUCCUCCUCCCUUGGUCCAUUCUAACUUUAUCGUAGUUGUGGAUAUCCUUAGCAAUGAGUUGAUACUUCAUGUUGGGUCUUGAAAUGUUCAUAAGCGUCCACAGAAAUCGAAUAUCAAUGUUAUUUUAGUCUAAUUACAUUGUGUAUAUGCACAAGCCAUCUUAUACAAAGCAGCCGAAAAAUAGAAAACCGAAACGCUGCAAUGUUUUUUUGUAGAAAACUGCUUUUAUGUUUAUACUGGUUUUCUUUGACUUUUAGAGACACGUCAGUGUAAUUGUGAAUGGCGAGAGCCCUGAAAUACAGCUGGACAGCAGCGGUCUACAUCACUGCCCCUUCUGCAGAUACAAAGGGUCAAAAUGUGAUAUCGACCAUCACAUUAAAUGCCAUGCCUCGGUUAAAUACAGAGGUCUGCAGAGGAGCUUUCAGGAAGCAGGAAGAGAAGACGGGAGGAAAAAAAGCUACAGACAAAACUGAAGACCAGGAACUGGAACCUGGGAACCUGGUAUAUAAUAUGUGUGUAAUGUUGGAGGUUGUUUGUAUAGCCAGAUGAAAUAGUCUGAUGACUAGUUGAAUAGUGUUUUUUAUCACUGAAAACUCAUCAGUAGUAGUAGCCUUUGUUUGCAUACCAUUUUGUGGUUUUGGGAGGGUAGGGUGUCAAGUACAGACACAAAUAAUUUUUCUUUCUUCUUCAAGGAAGAUUAUGUUGUCCUGAAGGACACAAUUCAGGCAGCAGCAUGGUGCCAGUUACAGUCCUUCAAGGACAGCGUUU
Molecule: long non-coding RNA, 1130 nt
Filed under: Gadus morhua (Atlantic cod)
Lineage: Eukaryota; Metazoa; Chordata; Actinopteri; Gadiformes; Gadidae
Description: lncRNA (ENSGMOG00000024331.1)
Source: RNAcentral